RNAcentral lists this ribosomal RNA (460 nucleotides) under uncultured bacterium. RNAcentral describes it as "partial 16S ribosomal RNA". It matches the Rfam family "Bacterial small subunit ribosomal RNA", at positions 338 to 795 of the family's 1533-position model. The record is from RNAcentral.
CCUACGGGUGGCAGCAGUGAGGAAUAUUGGUCAAUGGGCGGAAGCCUGAACCAGCCAAGUAGCGUGCAGGAUGACGGCCCUACGGGUUGUAAACUUCUUUUAUACGGGAAUAAAGUGAGUUACGUGUGCGGUUUUGCAUGUACCGUAUGAAUAAGGACCGGCUAACUCCGUGCCAGCAGCCGCGGUAAUACGGAAGGUCCGGGCGUUAUCCGGAUUUAUUGGGUUUAAAGGGAGCGUAGGCGGCAUGUUAAUCGUGCUGUGAAAUGUCCGGGCGCAACCGGGGACUUGCAGUGCAAACUGGCGGGCUUGAGUCCGCGGAAAGCAGGCGGAAUUCGUGGUGUAGCGGUGAAAUGCUUAGAUAUCACGAAGAACCCCGAUUGCGAAGGCAGCUUGCUGCAGCGGCACUGACGCUGAUGCUCGAAAGCGUGGGUAUCGAACAGGAUUAGAUACCCGUGUAGUC